CGUGUGUGUGUGUGUGUGUGUGUGUGUGUGUGUGUGUGUGUGUGUGUGUGUGUGUGCGUGUGUGCGUGUGUGUUAGUUAGACUCAAGAGCAACAGGAAAACUCUCUAUUCAAAGCUUCUUGAGCAC
Alosa sapidissima (American shad) is the source of this 126-nucleotide long non-coding RNA. RefSeq lists it as uncharacterized. The record is from RefSeq and is a predicted model, not a curated record. The transcript is spliced from 2 exons. NCBI's taxonomy places the organism in Eukaryota, Metazoa, Chordata, Actinopteri, Clupeiformes, Clupeidae.